UGCCUUUAAUGAUGGAGGGGAGUGGUGUGGGGAACCUGAUUAAUGCUCACCGCCCUGACCUUUUGCAUUCUGCCUUUGUAGAGAGAGAGAGGAGGAGGAGGAUGAGAGGAAGAGGAUGAGAGCACUGAAGACGUCUGCUUACAAUUCAUCCAUUUCAAUCAAUAAAAACUGAACUCCAUCCUGAUGAACACCAUUGCACCAGAGUCCAUCUCCUUCUUGCUUCUUGAACCGGGAAAGGGGAAGCAAUGGAGUCUCGAGUCCCUCCCGACACUACUUUGACUGGGCUGCUGCGGGGUCCCAGGAGGGGUGGUGGAGAUUUUUGUUACCCACGGUCUUCACAAAUGGUUGGAUACAGACAUUGAUAAUGUGAGUAUAAGGAUAUUCUUUAUAUAAGGAUAUUUUUUUAUUCAAAAUACUGAAUAUUAUAUACAAGCAUAGCAUCUGAACAGAAAUAUUCCUAUUUGUGUAUUAAACAAAUGUUUAGUUAAAUGUGCUUGGGAAUUAGGGUCUGAUUUCAAAUGUUGUAUUCACACUAUAUUGGUAAAGAGAAGUAACAAUGAUUUUACACUCCAAUGUUCACAUGCAUCACUUGAAAGCAGCACAAACUCUUAAAAGGCCAACACAAUAUGUG
Molecule: long non-coding RNA, 631 nt
Filed under: Oncorhynchus kisutch (coho salmon)
Lineage: Eukaryota; Metazoa; Chordata; Actinopteri; Salmoniformes; Salmonidae
Description: lncRNA (ENSOKIG00005022856.1)
Source: RNAcentral